GCUUGUUAUCUCUUAUUUUCAGAAAUCAUACAAGAUAUCGACAAAAUACUUUCAGACAAUUGUUAGUUGCGACAAGUCGUAACACAUAUAUUUUACUUAAAAGGGUACGUAACAUUUAUGCGAGUUUCCUCCCCUUUUAUAUCUAAUAUUAGUUGUAUGGUAAUAUAACUCAUUAACAAUAUGAAGUAGAGGCCUAGAGUCUUUUGAUUUGAGGUCCUUGGUUGAUGACCUUGGAAUUGAGCUCAAGGUCAUAGGUAAAUUCAACGUUCUAGAUUUUGACCUUUGCGCCUUCCUCUUAUGUAUACAUGAUAAAGCCAUGGGACUUUUUGCAAAAGCUUGCAAGCAAAGUGACCUUGAAAAAUUCAACCGGAAGUGACCUUUUGUAAACCGGAAGUAGCCCUUUUUUGUACUAAUUUAAUGUAAAAGUAUACAGAACCAUCUAUUUUUGGAAUCAGAGUCAACUAAACUAUCAAAACAUACCGGAAGUAACAUCUUUUAAACCGGAAGUAAAAAAUGAUCUCCCU
RNAcentral lists this long non-coding RNA (524 nucleotides) under Mytilus galloprovincialis (Mediterranean mussel). The record is from RNAcentral. Lineage: Eukaryota; Metazoa; Mollusca; Bivalvia; Mytilida; Mytilidae.